RNAcentral lists this ribosomal RNA (427 nucleotides) under uncultured Halomonas sp. RNAcentral's name for it is "bacterial SSU rRNA". It matches the Rfam family "Bacterial small subunit ribosomal RNA", at positions 363 to 782 of the family's 1533-position model. The record is from RNAcentral. Lineage: Bacteria; Pseudomonadati; Pseudomonadota; Gammaproteobacteria; Oceanospirillales; Halomonadaceae.
AUUGGACAAUGGGCGAAAGCCUGAUCCAGCCAUGCCGCGUGUGUGAAGAAGGCUUUCGGGUUGUAAAGCACUUUCAGUGGGGAAGAAAUCCUCGGGGCCAAUACCCUCGAGGGAGGACAUCACCCACAGAAGAAGCACCGGCUAACUCCGUGCCAGCAGCCGCGGUAAUACGGAGGGUGCGAGCGUUAAUCGGAAUUACUGGGCGUAAAGCGCGCGUAGGCGGCGUGAUAAGCCGGUUGUGAAAGCCCCGGGCUCAACCUGGGAACGGCAUCCGGAACUGUCAGGCUAGAGUGCAGGAGAGGAAGGUAGAAUUCCCGGUGUAGCGGUGAAAUGCGUAGAGAUCGGGAGGAAUACCAGUGGCGAAGGCGGCCUUCUGGACUGACACUGACGCUGAGGUGCGAAAGCGUGGGUAGCAAACAGGAUUAGA